CCUAAACAAGACCGCGCUGCAAAGGGACUUCCGUGGCAGAGAGAACAGAUACGUGACCACAGCGAGUGUCUCUUCUGCUUCCUAAGAGGGAAACUGCCCUCUCUCCAAAGACCGAGGCCAGCCUGAGGCGUCCGACCCCGGGGAUGGGGACAGCCGAGUCAGCUCUGUUUUCCCAACACGGGACAAGCAGCGAAGUCCAGAGAUACACGAAGUCAUCCCUGUGGAUUACUUCGGAAACAAGAGGGAUCUGGGCAGUUGUUUGCACAGAUCAAACCUCUGCCUGGAAGAAGACUGGGGAAGAGUAUGUUUAUGAUGACAAAGCUCUGCCAAACUAGAUACCCACAUAGUGUUUGGGGAAUGCAACCAUCUGGAGAGCAAACACACUAAAGCCAAGAAAGUCAUUGCCAUCUGCAAGGCAAGACAGAGAGCUAUAACUUGAAUGCCCAAAUGUCAGCCACAGUAUGAAGAAUCAUAUGCAGCCCAAGGAACGGAUAAGGUGGAAAGCAUACCUAUAGCUGUAA
Molecule: long non-coding RNA, 521 nt
Filed under: Struthio camelus australis
Lineage: Eukaryota; Metazoa; Chordata; Aves; Struthioniformes; Struthionidae
Description: lncRNA (ENSSCUG00000003463.1)
Source: RNAcentral